CGCGUAGGUGGUUUGUUAAGCGAGAUGUGAAAGCCCCGGGCUUAACCUGGGAACGGCAUUUCGAACUGGCAGGCUAGAGUGUGGUAGAGGGUAGUGGAAUUUCCUGUGUAGCGGUGAAAUGCGUAGAUAUAGGAAGGAACACCAGUGGCGAAGGCGGCCACCUGGACCAACACUGACACUGAGGUGCGAAAGCGUGGGGAGCAAACA
This 207-nucleotide ribosomal RNA is filed under the name uncultured bacterium. RNAcentral describes it as "partial 16S ribosomal RNA". It matches the Rfam family "Bacterial small subunit ribosomal RNA", at positions 568 to 774 of the family's 1533-position model. The record is from RNAcentral.